GGACUACCGGGGUUUCUAAUCCUGUUUGCUCCCCUAGCUUUCGCGCCUCAGCGUCAGGUUUGACACAGAGAACCGUCUUCACCACCGGUGUUCUUCCACAUAUCUACGCAUUUCACCGCUACACGUGGAAUUCCGUUCUCCCUUGUCAACCUCAAGCUCGUAAGUUUCAAAUGCAGCUCCAGGGUUGAGCCCUGGAAUUUCACAUCUGACUUCACGAGCCGCCUACGCGCCCUUUACGCCCAGUAAUUCCGAUCAAUGCUUGCACCCUCCGUAUUACCGCGGCGGCUGGCAC
RNAcentral lists this ribosomal RNA (292 nucleotides) under uncultured bacterium. RNAcentral describes it as "partial 16S ribosomal RNA". The record is from RNAcentral.